GCCGGGCGUGGUGGCGCACGCCUGUAAUCCCAGCACUCAGGAGGCUGAGGCAGGAGGAUCACUGUGAGUUCGAGAGCAGCCUGGGAUACAUAUUGAGUUCCAGGUCAGUCUCGACUACAUAGUGAGACCCUGCCUCAA
Molecule: non-coding RNA, 138 nt
Filed under: Fukomys damarensis (Damara mole-rat)
Lineage: Eukaryota; Metazoa; Chordata; Mammalia; Rodentia; Bathyergidae
Source: Rfam by way of RNAcentral